GUAGGGAAUAUUGGGCAAUGGUCGGAAGACUGACCCAGCCAUGUCGCGUGCAGGAAGACGGCCCUCUGGGUUGUAAACUGCUUUUAUCUGGGAAGAAAAAGGCCAUGCGUGGCAAAUUGCCGGUACCAGAUGAAUAAGCACCGGCUAACUCCGUGCCAGCAGCCGCGGUAAUACGGAGGGUGCGAGCGUUGUCCGGAUUUAUUGGGUUUAAAGGGUGCGUAGGCGGCUGAUUAAGUCAGCGGUGAAAGACUUCGGCUUAACCGGAGCAGUGCCGUUGAUACUGGUUGGCUUGAGUGUCGGAGGGGUACAUGGAAUUGAUGGUGUAGCGGUGAAAUGCAUAGAUACCAUCAGGAACACCGAUAGCGAAGGCAUUGUACUGGCCGACAACUGACGCUGAUGCACGAAAGUGUGGGGAUCGAACAGGAUUAGAAACCCCGGUAGUCC
RNAcentral lists this ribosomal RNA (444 nucleotides) under uncultured bacterium. Its description in RNAcentral is "partial 16S ribosomal RNA". It matches the Rfam family "Bacterial small subunit ribosomal RNA", at positions 354 to 796 of the family's 1533-position model. The record is from RNAcentral.